GAUGAACGCUGGCGGCGUGCCUAAUACAUGCAAGUCGAGCGAACAGACGAGGAGCUUGCUCCUCUGACGUUAGCGGCGGACGGGUGAGUAACACGUGGAUAACCUACCUAUAAGACUGGGAUAACUUCGGGAAACCGGAGCUAAUACCGGAUAAUAUAUUGAACCGCAUGGUUCAAUAGUGAAAGACGGUUUUGCUGUCACUUAUAGAUGGAUCCGCGCCGCAUUAGCUAGUUGGUAAGGUAACGGCUUACCAAGGCAACGAUGCGUAGCCGGACUGAGCGCGGAGUCGGCCACACUGGAAGUGAGACACGGUCCAGACUCCUACGGGAGGCAGCAGUAGGGAAUCUUCCGCAAUGGGCGAAAGCCUGACGGAGCAACGCCGCGUGAGUGAUGAAGGUCUUCGGAUCGUAAAACUCUGUUAUUAGGGAAGAACAAAUGUGUAAGCAACUAUGCACGUCUUGACGGUACCUAAUCAGAAAGCCACGGCUAACUACGUGCCAGCCGCCGCCGUAA
This 513-nucleotide ribosomal RNA is filed under the name uncultured bacterium. RNAcentral describes it as "partial 16S ribosomal RNA". It matches the Rfam family "Bacterial small subunit ribosomal RNA", at positions 28 to 523 of the family's 1533-position model. The record is from RNAcentral.